AUGUUGUCCAUUGACGGCAUCCGAUUUGGACGAAAGGCUUGGCGGUGAGGGAUGGGGAUGCGUCCGAUUAGCCAGACGGCGGGGUAACGGCCCACCGUGGCGACGAUCGGUAGGGGUUCUGAGAGGAAGGUCCCCCACACUGGAACUGAGACACGGUCCAGACUCCUACGGGAGGCAGCAGUGAGGAAUAUUGGUCAAUGGGCGUAAGCCUGAACCAGCCAAGUAGCGUGCAGGACGACGGCCCUAUGGGUUGUAAACUGCUUUUAUGCGGGGAUAAAGUGGCCCACGUGUGGGUUUUUGCAGGUACCGCAUGAAUAAGGACCGGCUAAUUCCGUGCCAGCAGCCGCGGUAAUACGGAAGGUCCGGGCGUUAUCCGGAUUUAUUGGGUUUAAAGGGAGCGUAGGCCGCGCCUUAAGCGUGUUGUGAAAUCCGGGUGCUCAACAUCCGGCUUGCAGCGCGAACUGGGGCGCUUGAGUGCGCAGAAAGUAGGCGGAAUUCGUGGUGUAGCGGUGAAAUGCUUAGAUAUCACGAGGAACUCCGAUUGCGAAGGCAGCCUACUGUAGCGCUACUGACGCUGAUGCUCGAAAGCGUGGGUAUCGAACAGGAUUAGAUACCCUGGUAGUCCACGCGGUAAACGAUGGAUGCUCGUUGUCGGCCCUUUGGGUCGGUGACCAAGCGAAAGCGUUAAGCAUCCCACCUGGGGAGUACGCCGGCAACGGUGAAACUCAAAGGAAUUGACGGU
This 742-nucleotide ribosomal RNA is filed under the name uncultured bacterium. Its description in RNAcentral is "bacterial SSU rRNA". It matches the Rfam family "Bacterial small subunit ribosomal RNA", at positions 173 to 917 of the family's 1533-position model. The record is from RNAcentral.